AUUGAACACUGGCGGCAGGCCUAACACAUGCAAGUCGAACGGUAACAGGAAACAGCUUGCUGUUUCGCUGACGAGUGGCGGACGGGUGAGUAAUGUCUGGGAAACUGCCUGAUGGAGGGGGAUAACUACUGGAAACGGUAGCUAAUACCGCAUAACGUCGCAAGACCAAAGAGGGGGACCCUCGGGCCUCUUGCCAUCGGAUGUGCCCAGAUGGGAUUAGCUUGUUGGUGGGGUAACGGCUCACCAAGGCGACGAUCCCUAGCUGGUCUGAGAGGAUGACCAGCCACACUGGAACUGAGACACGGUCCAGACUCCUACGGGAGGCAGCAGUGGGGAAUAUUGCACAAUGGGCGCAAGCCUGAUGCAGCCAUGCCGCGUGUAUGAAGAAGGCCUUCGGGUUGUAAAGUACUUUCAGCGGGGAGGAAGGGAGUAAAGUUAAUACCUUUGCUCAUUGACGUUACCCGCAGAAGAAGCACCGGCUAACUCCGUG
RNAcentral lists this ribosomal RNA (490 nucleotides) under uncultured bacterium. RNAcentral describes it as "partial 16S ribosomal RNA". It matches the Rfam family "Bacterial small subunit ribosomal RNA", at positions 30 to 507 of the family's 1533-position model. The record is from RNAcentral.